AUUGAACGCUGGCGGCAGGCCUAACACAUGCAAGUCGAGCGGAGCGGCGGACGGGCGAGUAAUUCAUUGGUAUCUGCCUGGUUGUGGGGGCUAACGUACUGAAACGUGCGCUAAUCUCGCAUUCUAUCAGAUGAGCGUAGGUCGGAUUAGGUAGUUGGUGGGGUAAAGGCCUACCAAGGCGACGAUCCGUAACUGGUCUGAGAGGAUGAGCAGUCACACUGGAACUGAGACACGGUCCAGACUCCUACGUGAGGCAGCAGUGGGGAAUAUUGGACAAUGGGCGAAAGCCUGAUGCAGCCAUGCCGCGUGUGUGAAGAAGGUCUUCGGAGUGUAAAGCACUUUAAGUUGGGAGGCGUUACCAACAGAAUAAGCACCGGCUAACUCCGUGCCAGCAGCCGCGGUAAUUC
Molecule: ribosomal RNA, 407 nt
Filed under: uncultured bacterium
Lineage: Bacteria
Description: partial 16S ribosomal RNA
Rfam family: Bacterial small subunit ribosomal RNA
Source: RNAcentral